AGUGAACGCUGGCGGUAGGCCUAACACAUGCAAGUCGAACGGCAGCACAGUAAGAGCUUGCUCUUACGGGUGGCGAGUGGCGGACGGGUGAGGAAUACAUCGGAAUCUACUUUUUCGUGGGGGAUAACGUAGGGAAACUUACGCUAAUACCGCAUACGACCUACGGGUGAAAGCAGGGGAUCUUCGGACCUUGCGCGAUUGAAUGAGCCGAUGUCGGAUUAGCUAGUUGGCGGGGUAAAGGCCCACCAAGGCGACGAUCCGUAGCUGGUCUGAGAGGAGGAUCAGCGACACUGGAACUGAGACACGGUCCAGACGCCUACGGGAGGCAGCAGUGGGGAAUAUUGGACAAUGGGGGCAAGCCUGAUCCAGCCAUACCGCGUGGGUGAAGACGGCCUUCGGGUUGUAAAGCCCUUUUGUUGGGAAAGAAAAGCAGCAGGUUAAUACCCCGCUGUUCUGACGGUACCCAAAGAAUAAGCACCGGCUAACUUCGUG
RNAcentral lists this ribosomal RNA (492 nucleotides) under uncultured bacterium. RNAcentral describes it as "partial 16S ribosomal RNA". It matches the Rfam family "Bacterial small subunit ribosomal RNA", at positions 29 to 507 of the family's 1533-position model. The record is from RNAcentral.